This 515-nucleotide ribosomal RNA is filed under the name uncultured microorganism. RNAcentral describes it as "bacterial SSU rRNA". It matches the Rfam family "Bacterial small subunit ribosomal RNA", at positions 9 to 520 of the family's 1533-position model. The record is from RNAcentral.
GAGUUUGAUCCUGGCUCAGGAUGAACGCUAGCGGCAGGCUUAAUACAUGCAAGUCGAGGGGCAUCAGCUUAUAGCAAUAUAGGGCUGGCGACCGGCAAACGGGUGCGGAACACGUACACAACCUUCCUUUAAGAGGGGGAUAGCCCAUAGAAAUGUGGAUUAAUACCCCGUAAGAUAGUGGGAUGGCAUCAUACUACUAUUAUAGUUACGACGCUUGAAGAUGGGUGUGCGUCUGAUUAGGUAGUUGGCGGGUAAAGGCCCACCAAGCCUUCGAUCAGUAGCUGAUGUGAGAGCAUGAUCAGCCACGGGCACUGAGACACGGGCCCGACUCCUACGGGAGGCAGCAGUAAGGAAUAUUGGUCAAUGGACGCAAGUCUGAACCAGCCAUGCCGCGUGAAGGGUGAAGGUCCUCUGGAUUGUAAACUUCUUUUAUAGGGGGCGAAAAAAGGGAAAUCUUUCUCACUUGACAGUACCCUAUGAAUAAGCACGGCUAACUCCGUGCCAGCAGCCGACCG